AAUUUCUCUUCUCUGACAGUUUUCUUCUUUGUCAAGGUGGCAUAAUAUCUCUCUUUCUGUGCUGAUGAAUUGACCUCCCCGUUUGUUGGUUUUUGGAUGGUGUUUGAUAGAUAUCCACGGUAUUUACAUUUAAAAGCUUUCUUCAUUUUUUUUUAAUUUAUUAAUAUUUUUAUCAAUUUCUAUUCCAAACUUUCAAAUAAUAUCUGAAUGUUUGGUUUAAGUUUGUGCUAUAACAGGAUCCUUAGAUGUGUAUGACUCUCAGGUUCAAUUGUUCUUCAAUUCCCCUCUCUGACAGUUUUCUUUUUUGUCAAGGUGGCAGAAUAUCUCUCUUUCAGUGCUGAUGAAUUGACCCCCCUCUGAUGGUUUUUGGAUGGCGUUUGAUAGACGAUCAUCCACGGUAUUUAUAUUUAAAAACCUUCUUCCUUUUUUUUUAAUUUAUUAAUGUUUUUAUCAAUUUCUAUUCCAAACUUUCAAAUAAUAUCUAAAUGUUUGGUUUAAGUUUGUGCUAUAGCAGGAUCCUUAGAUGUGUAUGACUCUCAGGUUCAAUUGUUCUCCAAUUUCUCCUCUCUG
This 570-nucleotide long non-coding RNA is filed under the name Carica papaya (papaya). RNAcentral's name for it is "long non-coding RNA (CPAP_LNC008639)". The record is from RNAcentral. Lineage: Eukaryota; Viridiplantae; Streptophyta; Magnoliopsida; Brassicales; Caricaceae.